Molecule: ribosomal RNA, 305 nt
Filed under: uncultured bacterium
Lineage: Bacteria
Description: bacterial SSU rRNA
Rfam family: Bacterial small subunit ribosomal RNA
Source: RNAcentral
UCCUACGGGGGGCAGCAGUGGGGGAUAUUGGACAAUGGGGGGAACCCUGAUCCAGCGACGCCGCGUGAGUGAAGAAGUAUUUCGGUAUGUAAAGCUCUAUCAGCAGGGAAGAAAAUGACGGUACCUGAGUAAGAAGCCCCGGCUAACUACGUGCCAGCAGCCGCGGUAAUACGUAGGGGGCAAGCGUUAUCCGGAUUUACUGGGUGUAAAGGGAGCGUAGACGGCGAUGCAAGUCUGAAGUGAAAGCCCGGGGCUCAACCCCGGGACUGCUUUGGAAACUGUAUGGCUGGAGUGCUGGAGAGGCG